This is a long non-coding RNA of Anastrepha ludens (Mexican fruit fly), 1703 nucleotides long. RefSeq lists it as uncharacterized. The transcript is spliced from 4 exons. NCBI's taxonomy places the organism in Eukaryota, Metazoa, Arthropoda, Insecta, Diptera, Tephritidae. The record is from RefSeq and is a predicted model, not a curated record.
UAAACUUUUGGUGCAAAUUAUUUGGUCGGCAACACCGUUUCCACUUUGACGCUUUGCUUUGUUAUUAUUCGUUGAAAAUCUUUUAUCUGUUUGUAAACAUUCAAGUCGAUUAUGUCUUACAUAUGGUGAUAGUCGAUUAUUUGGAGUCGGCUUUCUGCUGCAGAAAACCCCCGGUUUGUGAAUUUUCAUACACGUUUUUAUAGCAGCGUUUUUGCAAAUAUAAUAGAGACCACCUUACAUACAAUACAUAAACUACAGUUAGACUUCACAGACGAGCAAUUGCUGCGGAAGGUGUGUGUUGAAGAGCUAGGUGGCCCAACUAUUGUGGUUUUUAGAAACGAAAGCACGUAUGCACGUAUUUCUACCAUUGUCUCAUGUGGUGCUACGGACAAUUUCAUAGGAGACAUGGAGCGUGUUGUGUAUGAUGGUGCAAAUACCUGUUUAACAUGUGACGGUCAUUAUGUGCCUAGUACUGCUACCUCUGAAAUCAAUUUGACUUCCGAACUGGCUGUCCACGUCGAUACCUUACCCCAUCUAGAUCAAUAUGCUGUACGUAGAUGUAUGCGCAACACCUACACGAGCAAGUCCUCGCGCUUUAAGUCUACAAUUACAGAUAAGUUGUAAUGAUAUAUUUGUGAGUUAUUUUUAAGUUUUUGGUUUACAGGUUUUUGAUUUCUGCCUGAAGUAAGUGCAGUGUUCCAACACCUAUACGAGCAAGUGCACCCACAUUCCUCAUAUUUCCUCUCCGAUUCAUUACUGAGACACGUGGUAUUGAUAUACGUAAAUUUACAAACCAUCAGAAUUACUAAAAGUGGAUUAUAUUACCAACAUCUAAAAUUUUUCGAUGUAUUGGUUUUAGUCUAUAUUAAUACAUUUUCCUAUUAAUAUUAGGGACGCAAAGUAUAUUAAAGUACACAAAUUUUAAACUAUAAACUAGUAAAUUUGUAAUUUUUAUUGCAAACUAUUUUAACUUCUAAUUUCAAUUUUUUUCUUAUAUUUAGAAAUGAUCGACUGAAACUAUUUUAACUUCUAAUUUCAAUUUUUUUCUUAUGUUUAGAAAUGAUCGACUGAACUUCUGCUUUCGCAAUGUCUUUACGGUAACAUAAAUAUAUACAUAUAUAUAUAUAUAUAUACAUAUAUAAUCAUGCAAUAGAUUUGAGUAUAUUUUGUGCAAGAGAACAAAAAAUAGUCAUAAUAAAGGAAUUUAAUAUGUUUAAUUUACUACAAUAGUACAAGUCUUUUAAUACACCAAAGGUCAAAAUAUACUUAAUCGACAGGAAUGAGAUGAAACAGAAAGUUUAAUUUUUUUUCUUAUUUCGUGCAUAACAAUACAUGUAGGUACAUGUAGUAUGUUACCGUAAAGACAUUGCGAAAGCAGAAGUUCAGUCGAUCAUUUCUAAAUAUAAGAAAAAAUUGAAAUUAGAAGAGUUAAAAUAGUUUGCAAUAUAUAUAUAUAUAUAUAUAUUGUAUAUAUAUAACAUAUAUAUAUAUAUAUGUAAUUGGCGCGUACACCCUUUUUGGGUGUUUGGCCGAGCUCUUCCUCCUAUUUGUGGUGUGCGUCUUGAUGUUAUUCCACAAAUGGAGGGACCUACAGUUUCAAGCCGACUCCGAACGGCAGAAAAAAAAAACACAUACAUAAGUAACAUCCCAUAGUUCUGCGUGCUCUUGUGUUAGAUAAACAUCGAAAAUAUUCUAAAUAAAUA